GAAUGGUUCUGUGUCCUGCUCUGACUCUGCUGUUGGGUGUUGUGAGAGGACCUCAGGGAAGCUCUGAAUUCGAGACAUGGAUGCAGUGACUUAUGAUGAUGUGCAUGUGAACUUCACUGGGGAAGAGUGGAAGUUGCUGGAUCCUUCCCAGAAGAGUCUCUACAAAGAUGUGAUGCUGGAGACCUACUGGAACCUCACGGUUAUAGGCUACACUUGGGAAAACCAUCAAAUUGAAGGACAUUGUCAAAGUUCAAGAAGAAAUGAAAGGUAUGUAAAUAAUCAUAGUGGAGAGAAACUCUAUGAAUGUAAUGAACGUUCUAAAGCCUUUUCAUGUCCCAGUCAUCUCCAAUGUCAUAAAAGAAGACAAAUUGGAGAGAAAACACAUGAACAUAACCAAUGUGAUAAAGCCUUUCCAACACCCAGUCAUCUUCAAUAUCAUAAAAGAACCCAUACUGGAGAGAAACCCUAUGAAUGUCAUCAAUGUGGUCAAGCCUUUAAAAAAUGCAAUCAUCUCCAACGUCAUAAAAGAACCCAUACUGGAGAGAAACCCUAUGAAUGUCAUCAAUGUGGUAAAGCCUUUAAAAAAUGCAGUCUUCUCCAACGUCAUAAAAGAACACAUACUGGAGAGAAACCAUAUGAAUGUAAUCAUUGUGG
Molecule: long non-coding RNA, 654 nt
Filed under: Mus musculus (house mouse)
Lineage: Eukaryota; Metazoa; Chordata; Mammalia; Rodentia; Muridae
Description: predicted gene 10479
Source: RNAcentral